AGGGCACAGCAGGAAGCCACCUCUCUGCCCGACCUCAAGGAUAAACUUGAAAACGAGAUCACAAAGAAGGACUCUCUGCAUCGACAGCACUGUUUCCAAAGGAACAGGGAGUGGCCGGGAAUGUGUAGGCAGCUGGCCAUUUUGGUCAUCCGGCAUUGAACAGGAAAACCGCAUCCAGCUUCUUGGAAACAUAGUGAGUUUGCCUGGUGUGUUUGUCAAAUGUGUCAGUCGACCCAAAAUGAUAAUCAAAGUGAAAGACUAGGAAGCCAUGAAAAUGACAUUGAGGAAUGCUGUUUGAGAGCACGUAAGAUGUUCCAAAUCAUGAGUGUAAAAGGCAGAUCGCGAAAUACUAUGUGUACAGCAUGUGAUUUAUUUUUGAGGGUUUUAAAGCAUGAUACACGGUCUGUAUAUACACAGAAAGCUAUAUGCACACAGAAGAUGGAAGGAGUCUGUGGGAACAAAUGUUAACCUGGCAAAAACCUCACCUUAUACAUGAUUUUCAAAAUGACUUUAUAUAUUUUUAAUGCUUAUUUAUUUUU
Molecule: long non-coding RNA, 539 nt
Organism: Neofelis nebulosa (Clouded leopard)
Lineage: Eukaryota; Metazoa; Chordata; Mammalia; Carnivora; Felidae
Exons: 3
Source: RefSeq, a predicted model, not a curated record